Long non-coding RNA from Eriocheir sinensis (Chinese mitten crab), 1147 nucleotides. RefSeq lists it as uncharacterized. The record is from RefSeq and is a predicted model, not a curated record. The transcript has 4 exons. NCBI's taxonomy places the organism in Eukaryota, Metazoa, Arthropoda, Malacostraca, Decapoda, Varunidae.
ACACUUCGUUAGAAUCUAUAUAGACGAUAGUUAAAACAUAUACGCCUCCGAGGUCUAGUGGUCAGCGUAACUGGCUUCUACUCCGCGUGCCUGGGUUCGAAUCCCGGCCCGGGCAGUCGGCAUGCAUCUCACCCAGCUGUUCAUCCUCCCUUUCGGGCUGGUCGAUAAAUGGGUACCUGGGGAAACCUGGGGAAGGUAAACUGUGGUAACCCAGAUGUCAUGCUGGUCCUGUGUCCCGGGGUAAUGGGCUCCCUCCCACCACAGGCUCAAGGGCCAAUGUUACGGAGAUGAGCACCGAGGCCAUGUGCUGCUCUAGCGUAUGCCCCCAACUUUACUAAAACAUCCAUUAUGCAGUGUAACUAUUUUUAUGCUAUGGUCGUAAGGUUGGCAGUGACUAUAUAUAUAUGGACCAUUCAUUUUGAGGGAGCUACUCUUUAACCCGUCCGCUGCGAUUUGGCUUUCACUGGUAGCCUGGUAACAUACACUCCCAGGUCUUUCUCUGCCUCUGUGGUGGAUAGUGGAGUGUUUCCCAUGUGGUAUUGGUAUGCUGGAUAUCCCUUCACUGGUAGCCUGGUAACAUACACUCCCAGGUCUUUCUCUGCCUCUGUGGUGGAUAGUGGAGUGUUUCCCAUGUGGUAUUGGUAUGCUGGAUAUCCCUUCACUGGUAGCCUGGUAACAUACACUCCCAGGUCUUUCUCUGCCUCUGUGGUGGAUAGUGGAGUGUUUCCCAUGUGGUAUUGGUAUGCUGGAUAUCCCUUCACUGGUAGCCUGGUAACAUACACUCCCAGGUCUUUCUCUGCCUCUGUGGUGGAUAGUGGAGUGUUUCCCAUGUGGUAUUGGUAUGCUGGAUAUCCCUUCACUGGUAGCCUGGUAACAUACACUCCCAGGUCUUUCUCUGCCUCUGUGGUGGAUAGUGGAGUGUUUCCCAUGUGGUAUUGGUGUGCUGGAUAUCCCCUCCCAAGGUGCAGGACUUUACAUUUUUCUUCAUUGAAUUGUAGCAGCCACUUUUUGUUCCAUUCCUGUAGCUUGGUGAUGUCUUCUUGUAGGAAAUCCGCAGUCAGGGGUUUAAUGCGGCCUCCGUCUAAGAGUUAACUUUGCUCACUGUGAACAAAAAAAUGAGGAAAGGAAAAAUAAGUCUCAUGGCAAG